This 492-nucleotide ribosomal RNA is filed under the name uncultured bacterium. Its description in RNAcentral is "partial 16S ribosomal RNA". It matches the Rfam family "Bacterial small subunit ribosomal RNA", at positions 29 to 507 of the family's 1533-position model. The record is from RNAcentral.
AGUGAACGCUGGCGGUAGGCCUAACACAUGCAAGUCGAACGGCAGCACAGUAAGAGCUUGCUCUUACGGGUGGCGAGUGGCGGACGGGUGAGGAAUACAUCGGAAUCUACUUUUUCGUGGGGGAUAACGUAGGGAAACUUACGCUAAUACUGCAUACGACCUACGGGUGAAAGCAGGGGUUCUUCGGACCUUGCGCGAUUGAAUGAGCCGAUGUCGGAUUAGCUAGUUGGCGGGGUAAAGGCCCACCAAGGCGACGAUCCGUAGCUGGUCUGAGAGGAUGAUCAGCCACACUGGAACUGAGACACGGUCCAGACUCCUACGGGAGGCAGCAGUGGGGAAUAUUGGACAAUGGGCGCAAGCCUGAUCCAGCCAUACCGCGUGGGUGAAGAAGGCCUUCGGGUUGUAAAGCCCUUUUGUUGGGAAAGAAAAGCAGCAGGUUAAUACCCCGCUGUUCUGACGGUACCCAAAGAAUAAGCACCGGCUAACUUCGUG